CCUACGGGUGGCAGCAGUGAGGAAUAUUGGUCAAUGGCCGCAGGGCUGAACCAGCCAAGUCGCGUGAGGGAUGACGGUCCUAUGGAUUGUAAACCUCUUUUGUCAGGGAGCAAAGGGCGCCACGUGUGGCGUUUUGCGAGUACCUGAAGAAAAAGCAUCGGCUAACUCCGUGCCAUCAGCCGCGGUAGUACGGGGGAUGCGAGCGUUAUCCGGAUUUAUUGGGUUUAAAGGGUGCGCAGGCGGAAUGUCAAGUCAGCGGUAAAAUUUCGGGGCUCAACCCCGUCGUGCCGUUGAAACUGGGAGGCUUGAGUGUGGUUGAGGCAGGCGGAAUGCGUGGUGUAGCGGUGGAAUGCUUAGAUAUCACGCAGAACCCCGAGUGCGAAGGCAGCCUGCCAAGCCAUGACUGACGCUGAUGCACGAAAGCGUGGGGAUCAAACAGGAUUAGAUACCCUGGUAGUC
RNAcentral lists this ribosomal RNA (459 nucleotides) under uncultured bacterium. Its description in RNAcentral is "partial 16S ribosomal RNA". It matches the Rfam family "Bacterial small subunit ribosomal RNA", at positions 338 to 795 of the family's 1533-position model. The record is from RNAcentral.